GGAGGUAUAGCUCAGUGGUAAAGCAUAUGUUUAGCAUGCACGAGGUCCUGGGUUCAAUCCCCAGUACCGCCA
Camelus ferus (Wild Bactrian camel) is the source of this 72-nucleotide transfer RNA. It matches the Rfam family "tRNA". From Rfam's summary of the family: Transfer RNA (tRNA) molecules are approximately 80 nucleotides in length. Their secondary structure includes four short double-helical elements and three loops (D, anti-codon, and T loops). Lineage: Eukaryota; Metazoa; Chordata; Mammalia; Artiodactyla; Camelidae. The record is from Rfam.